RNAcentral lists this unclassified non-coding RNA (279 nucleotides) under plant metagenome. RNAcentral describes it as "partial contains small subunit ribosomal RNA, internal transcribed spacer 1, and 5.8S ribosomal RNA". The record is from RNAcentral.
UUUCCGUAGGUGAACCUGCGGAAGGAUCAUUACUGAGUGCCCGUCCCUCGUGGACCGACCCUCCCCCUCUCGCCCCUUGUAUAACCUGUUGCUUUCGCGGGCCCCCUGGGAAUUUCCUGUUGUUGAGGGGACCUGCGCUCCUGGGUCAGUGCCCCCACGAGCGCCCUUGACCCCUAAUGACGUUGGUCUGAUCGAGCAUGAUUGAUUCUAAUCAAAACUUUCAACAAUGGAUCUCUCGGUUCCGGCCUCGAUGAAGACAGCUGCAGAGAGGAAGAGCAC